Molecule: ribosomal RNA, 505 nt
Filed under: Rhizoctonia solani
Lineage: Eukaryota; Fungi; Basidiomycota; Agaricomycetes; Cantharellales; Ceratobasidiaceae
Description: eukaryotic LSU rRNA
Rfam family: 5.8S ribosomal RNA (bases 71-224)
Source: RNAcentral
CUGUCUACUUAAUCUAUAUAAACUCAAUUUAUUUUAAAAUGAAUGUAAUGGAUGUAACACAUCUAAUACUAAGUUUCAACAACGGAUCUCUUGGCUCUCGCAUCGAUGAAGAACGCAGCGAAAUGCGAUAAGUAAUGUGAAUUGCAGAAUUCAGUGAAUCAUCGAAUCUUUGAACGCACCUUGCGCUCCUUGGUAUUCCUUGGAGCAUGCCUGUUUGAGUAUCAUGAAAUCUUCAAAGUCAAACCUUUUGUUAACUCAAUUGGUUCUGCUUUGGUAUUGGAGGUCUAUUGCAGCUUCACACCUGCUCCUCUUUGUGCAUUAGCUGGAUCUCAGUGUUAUGCUUGGUUCCACUCAGCGUGAUAAGUUAUCUAUCGCUGAGGACACCCUGUUAAAAAGGGGUGGCCAAGGUAAAUGCAGAUGAACCGCUUCUAACAGUCCAUUGACUUGGACAAAUAUUAAUUUUAUGAUCUGAUCUCAAAUCAGGUAGGACUACCCGCUGAACUUA